GUAAUGUACUCUUUCUUCGGAACACUCGGUGACAGGUGGUGCAUGGUUGUCGUCAGCUCGUGUCGUGAGAUGUUGGGUUAAGUCCCGCAACAGAGCGCAACCCCUGUCCUUAGUAGCCAGCAGUUCGGCUGGGCACUCUAGGGAGACUGCCAGGGAUAACCUGGAGGAAGGCGGGGAUGACGUCAAAUCAUCAUGCCCCUUAUGACUUGGGCUACACACGUGCUACAAUGGCGUAAACAAAGGGAAGCGAAAAGGUGACUUCUAGCAAAUCCCAAAAAUAACGUCCCAGUUCGGACUGUAGUCUGCAACUCGACUACACGAAGCUGGAAUCGCUAGUAAUCGCGAAUCAGAAUGUCGCGGUGAAUACGUUCCCGGGUCUUGUACACACCGA
RNAcentral lists this ribosomal RNA (391 nucleotides) under uncultured bacterium. RNAcentral's name for it is "bacterial SSU rRNA". It matches the Rfam family "Bacterial small subunit ribosomal RNA", at positions 1003 to 1393 of the family's 1533-position model. The record is from RNAcentral.